Long non-coding RNA from Perca fluviatilis (European perch), 700 nucleotides. RefSeq lists it as uncharacterized. The record is from RefSeq and is a predicted model, not a curated record. The transcript is spliced from 3 exons. NCBI's taxonomy places the organism in Eukaryota, Metazoa, Chordata, Actinopteri, Perciformes, Percidae.
UACUCGCUGGAUGUUUGAUUUUGUGACAUUUAAGUGCUUCCAGACUCAGCUCAAGCUUUACAUUUCAAUAGUACUGUACUUUCUAAUUUGUUGUGAGAGAACAAUUUGGAGGUGGAGGUAUUUUUCGGCUAAAGUUCUCUUUUCACAGGACCAUUAUUUCCUGAAGACCAAUGAAACAACCACAGAAGUCACCCGUGUCCCUGAUCCCAGUGUAAUCUGCUGCAGUGAAAGCAUUCUGGGUGUGAAUGAGAAGCAAUCACACAGCAGAAGGAGAGCUCACAAAUCCACCAAAUAAGCAAAUAUGGAAAGAACGUGACAUUGAGGACAUGAAUGGCUGCAUUUGAAACCACCGAGCUGAAGCCAUGACCAUGACCUCUGACCUCUGUGUGGGGGAGGGAAGAGAACAGAAGGAUCUCUCUGCAGAGAUCAAUAAAGAAACAUAUCAUUACAACAAAGCUAUAGUCACAUUCAUGCUCUGAUACACAAAAGAAAAUGUGUCGUAGCUGAAACAUCUGAACAAUAAAACCCACAACAAAACCUAUUAAUCAUAACUUAAGUCGUCAGUUUGUAUUUUUCUUUAUAAAGUAAUAUCACUUGAUUCUCUGACAGUCAUUGCAUUAUUGAAUUGAGCUUAACUGAACGUUAUCUGACAAUUUAUGACAUUUCCAACCAUUUAAAGGGUCAAUGUUAGUUUUUUUGU